Carassius auratus (goldfish) is the source of this 258-nucleotide long non-coding RNA. RefSeq lists it as uncharacterized. The transcript has 3 exons. The record is from RefSeq and is a predicted model, not a curated record. Lineage: Eukaryota; Metazoa; Chordata; Actinopteri; Cypriniformes; Cyprinidae.
GGGAACUGAAUUUGACACCCCUACCUUAAGAGGAAGGUGAAAGAGGAAAGGUUAGGAGCUUGAGAUGUGAACGAUCGAGCAGGGUGAGACACGGCCAAUCAACCCAGCAUGUGCACAAACACAGCAUCCUAAAUAAGAACAGAAACUCCACUCCAAUGCAAGCAUGCAGGGAUGCAGAGCUGUUUGGACUCUCCUUUUGACGGCACCCAUUCACUGUGGAGGAUCCAUUGGUGAUCAAGUCACGGAAUGCUAUAUUUC